GAUGAACGCUGGCGGCGUGCCUAAUACAUGCAAGUCGAGCGAACAGACGAGGAGCUUGCUCCUCUGACGUUAGCGGCGGACGGGUGAGUAACACGUGGAUAACCUACCUAUAAGACUGGGAUAACUUCGGGAAACCGGAGCUAAUACCGGAUAAUAUAUUGAACCGCAUGGUUCAAUAGUGAAAGACGGUUUUGCUGUUACUGAUAGAUGGAUCCGCGCCGCAUUAGCUAGUUGGUAAGGUAACGGCUUACCAAGGCAACGAUGCGUAGCCGACCUGAGGGGGUGAUCCGCCACCCUGGCACUGAGACACGGUCCAGACUCCUACGGGAGGCCGCAGUAGGGAAUCUUCCGCAAUGGGCGAAAGGCUGACGGAGCAACGCCGCGUGAGUGCUGAACGUCUUCGGAUCGUAAAACUCUGUUAUUCGGGAAGAACAAAUGUGUAAGUAACUAUGCACGUCUUGACGGUACCUAAUCAGAAAGCCACGGCUAACUACGUG
This 497-nucleotide ribosomal RNA is filed under the name uncultured bacterium. RNAcentral's name for it is "partial 16S ribosomal RNA". It matches the Rfam family "Bacterial small subunit ribosomal RNA", at positions 28 to 507 of the family's 1533-position model. The record is from RNAcentral.